RNAcentral lists this transfer RNA (73 nucleotides) under Nelumbo nucifera (sacred lotus). It matches the Rfam family "tRNA". Rfam says of the family: Transfer RNA (tRNA) molecules are approximately 80 nucleotides in length. Their secondary structure includes four short double-helical elements and three loops (D, anti-codon, and T loops). The record is from Rfam by way of RNAcentral. Lineage: Eukaryota; Viridiplantae; Streptophyta; Magnoliopsida; Proteales; Nelumbonaceae.
GGGGAUGUAGCUCAAAUGGUAGAGCGCUCGCUAAGCAUGCGAGAGGUAAGAGGUUCAACACCCCGCAUCUCCA